UAAGGAAUAUUGGUCAAUGGACGCAAGUCUGAACCAGCCAUGCCGCGUGGAGGAUGAAGGUCCUCUGGAUUGUAAACUUCUUUUAUCGGAGAAGAAACCCUUGCAUUCUUGCGAGGUUGACGGUACCCGAUGAAUAAGCACCGGCUAACUCCGUGCCAGCAGCCGCGGUAAUACGGAGGGUGCAAGCGUUAUCCGGAUUCACUGGGUUUAAAGGGUGCGUAGGUGGGAUGGUAAGUCAGUGGUGAAAUCUCCGGGCUUAACUCGGAAACUGCCGUUGAUACUAUCAUUCUUGAAUAUUGUGGAGGUAAGCGGAAUAUGUCAUGUAGCGGUGAAAUGCUUAGAUAUGACAUAGAACACCGAUAGCGAAGGCAGCUUGCUACACAAUUAUUGACACUGAGGCACGAAAGCGUGGGGAUCAAACAGG
RNAcentral lists this ribosomal RNA (424 nucleotides) under uncultured bacterium. RNAcentral describes it as "bacterial SSU rRNA". It matches the Rfam family "Bacterial small subunit ribosomal RNA", at positions 355 to 776 of the family's 1533-position model. The record is from RNAcentral.